UACGAAGGGAGCUAGCGUUGCUCGGAAUCACUGGGCGUAAAGCGCACGUAGGCGGACUCUUAAGUCGGUGGUGAAAUCCUGGAGCUCAACUCCAGAACUGCCUUCGAUACUGAGAGUCUCGAGUCCGAGAGAGGUGAGUGGAACUGCGAGUGUAGAGGUGAAAUUCGUAGAUAUUCGCAAGAACACCAGUGGCGAAGGCGGCUCACUGGCUCGGUACUGACGCUGAGGUGCGAAAGCGUGGGGAGCAAACAGG
This 253-nucleotide ribosomal RNA is filed under the name uncultured bacterium. Its description in RNAcentral is "partial 16S ribosomal RNA". It matches the Rfam family "Bacterial small subunit ribosomal RNA", at positions 524 to 776 of the family's 1533-position model. The record is from RNAcentral.